CACAGACAAAGCAAAAGCAAACAACUAGCUCCUGCAGCUCUGAGCCCUUCACAAUAAAAGCACAUUAUGUAAUCUUUCCACUGACGUGCACAAUAGGAAAGAGAAGCCCAUUAGCUAGAUUAAGAGAUUAGUUAGAUCUCCACUCAAGAGUAAUGCCUAUACAUUCCCCCUAGGUAAAUCAAAAACCUAUAAUAUUAGGUGAAAUAACAGGAACCAGCAGCGGGGAUUACUACGUAUCCAUGUGAGAUAUGGGGUGGUUCGUUCUUCACCAUAGUGCACAAAACAAGAUUCCAGUCAUCAAAGCUGAAGCAGAGGCAGGGCCAUUACAACACCAAAAAUUGAAACUAGCAACAGCAACAACCAAGUUGGAACGGAUUUCCUCUGUUGGUUUUUGACGUCUUUUAGAGGCUUCACUCUGUUCACUUCGUCCUUUGGGGAAUUGUCAUGCUCUUCCAACAAGGGUCUAGACUUAUCUGCUCCAGCUGGCAUAGAUGAUACCUGCUCUGGAACUGGCUGCGACGAGAGCUGCUGCUGUUCAUACUUCUCCACAUACUCGGGAAACAAUUUCCUAAAGGUUGGGUUUUUACAGUUAAAAGCCAAGGAUGCCUUCGCAAGCUUCUCCUUCUCAGCAACGGUUGUUGAGACACUGCCUGUGGUAGGACUAUUGUCCAUCAUAAAUGAGAGCAGCCCUGUUAGUAUGCUUGACACGGACCACAUUGGAUUCCAGCUCUCUGGAUGGAAGUCACUCAUAGAUAAGCAGAUUUUCUUUUGCGUCAUGAAUCUUCCGUUUGGAGUAGUCAUACUGAUCCCUGGAGGUUUAAAUGGAUAUUCUGGAGGAAACUUGAUCUUCCCAUAAUAAAAUCCACCUGCAAAUGGUGUUCCUUCACUCCCCUCCAAAACAUAAUGCCACUCAAGGAUAUCAUUCGGAGAAGGGCGGGCCACAACAUGGGAAACAGGUUCUUUACAAAGUGCUCUAUAUUCCUUCUGAAGGCGCUUUACACAUGCUUUUUCUGCCAUGUCUUAGCUUCAAAAUAUAUUGAAACUAAGAGAGAAUCCUGCAAAGCUUUCCUUAUCCUCUUGACCACCAGAAAUACAACAACCGAAGAUCUCGAAGAAAUUGGAAAUUGAAUUGGGCGAAUUGAGGUUUUCCAGAAUCUGAUGAAGAUCUACUUCAAACGGCUGCGAGUUGAGGAACAAAAAUAAUUGAAGAGAAGCUUUUCUUGGUUUUCGGCUUGCAGAUGAUGGACACUGACCCCAAGAAAAGCCUCUCAGA
This 1273-nucleotide unclassified non-coding RNA is filed under the name Hevea brasiliensis (rubber tree). The record is from RNAcentral. Lineage: Eukaryota; Viridiplantae; Streptophyta; Magnoliopsida; Malpighiales; Euphorbiaceae.